GGAAACUUAGGAUAUAAUAAACCAGGAGCCUUCAAAGCCCCAAAAAAGAAGUAAACUCUCUUAGUCUCCG
RNAcentral lists this transfer RNA (70 nucleotides) under Sternotherus carinatus (Razorback musk turtle). RNAcentral describes it as "tRNA-Trp". The record is from RNAcentral. Lineage: Eukaryota; Metazoa; Chordata; Testudines; Kinosternidae.